AGAGUCAUGGUUCAUCACAUCCCUCACAAGUUUUCAAAGAUUAUGUCAGAGGCCUCCACCCACUACCCUCUUGGAAUCCUGUUCAAGGAUGAAAACAAAUCUGGAGACUUGGUGGAUGUUCUACAGCACCUCCAGAAAGAGUAUGCUCCAAAGGGCCCAGAUGGAGAGCAUUCUAGUCGGCGGUGACCGGCUGACGGAGGGGAAACGUAGGAACCUUCAGUAGAGCUUUGC
Molecule: long non-coding RNA, 231 nt
Organism: Fundulus heteroclitus (mummichog)
Lineage: Eukaryota; Metazoa; Chordata; Actinopteri; Cyprinodontiformes; Fundulidae
Exons: 3
Source: RefSeq, a predicted model, not a curated record